ACUUCUAAAGUUGGCGGUGUUUCGUACCGGCCGCGGGAUUUCGCGGACUGGGGCGCUGAGGUUCUUUGAGCGGCGUGUGGACCUGAAUUCCCUGGAAACAGGCUGGGGCCGCGAGGGGCCUCCGCUCCGGGCGGGGUCCCCAGAUAGCCCCGCCUCGAAUAAAAAUGACGAGCACGGGUCCUCUCUCGGGCCCGCAGUGGGUGGACUGCGUCGCAGACCCGUAGUGGAGGCGCCCAGCUCGCCGGGGAGAUUCGAGUGGAAACCCUCACGGCCGCCGGUGGUGGGCCCCGGCGCGGCGCUGGGCUCCGGCGGGUCUGCGCUGGGGAGGGCCAGGGCCCCUGAAGCCGGCGUCCCUCUUAGGGGACGCGCCUGGGUGUGUCUUCACCGUUUGCCUGCCUGGGCGACAGAGACUCCAUCUCAAAAAUAAACAGAAAACCAGAGCAUCCUUUUAUCAAGAAGUCGGUGGAUUGCAGUAUUUCAAGGGUGAACAAGUAAAUGCAGCCUUCUCCAAGAGUGAAUCUCAUUCUGGCACCAGAAUUUAUCCAUGACAGAUAAUUGACCUUCUGAUAAACAUUCCUUGUAAGGAUGCUGGUGUUACCCAAAAUAUUAAAUAUUUAUAAAGCUGAAUAAAAUGUAAGUUCUGAUACCUUCCUCACUCUACAAAGGAUCAUUUCGUGCCUCACACUGUUUGC
Molecule: long non-coding RNA, 692 nt
Filed under: Homo sapiens (human)
Lineage: Eukaryota; Metazoa; Chordata; Mammalia; Primates; Hominidae
Description: non-protein coding lnc-CARD14-4:4
Source: RNAcentral